UACCCUGCUAGAACCAAAUUUGUG
This 24-nucleotide microRNA is filed under the name Gallus gallus (chicken). RNAcentral describes it as "microRNA Ros-gga". The record is from RNAcentral. Lineage: Eukaryota; Metazoa; Chordata; Aves; Galliformes; Phasianidae.